Molecule: ribosomal RNA, 983 nt
Filed under: Cypripedium kentuckiense
Lineage: Eukaryota; Viridiplantae; Streptophyta; Magnoliopsida; Asparagales; Orchidaceae
Description: eukaryotic LSU rRNA
Rfam family: Eukaryotic large subunit ribosomal RNA
Source: RNAcentral
CGACCCCAGGUCAGGCGGGGCCACCCGUCGAGUUUAAGCAUAUCAAUAAGCGGAGGAGAAGAAACUUAUGAGGAUUCCCCUAGUAACGGCGAGCGAACUGGGAUGUGCUCAGCAUGGUAAUCGGGCAGCCAUGCUGCCUGAAUUGUAGUCUGCAGAAGCGUCCUCAGCGACGGAUCGGGCUCAAGUCCCCUGGAAAGGGGCGCCAGGGAGGGUGAGAGCCCCGUCCGACCUGAACCCUGUCGCAACACGAGGCGCUGUCGGCGAGUCGGGUUGUUUGGGAAUGCAGCCCUAAUCGGGCGGUAAAUUUCGUCCAAGGCUAAAUACAGGCAAGAGACCGAUAGCGAACAAGUACCGCGAGGGAAAGAUGAAAAGGACUUUGAAAAGAGAGUCAAAGAGUGCUUGAAAUUGUCGGGAGGGAAGCGGAUGGGGGCCGGCGGUGCACCUCGGUUGGAUGUGGAACGGCGGGAAGCUGGUCUACCCGCUCGGCUCGAGGUGCGGACCCGUUGUCGACCUUACCGAUGGCCCGGAACCUGGGUGAUUGAUGUUCGAGGAGAGACCAUCGGCAUGGUUGGCAAUACUUCACACGCCUUCUAGCGGGCCUUUCUUGGGCCCUUGUGUGUUGUUUGAACUGGCCUGCGGGCUCCCAUCGACCCGUCUUGGAACACGGACCAAGGAGUCUGACAUGCGUGCCAANCCAUGGGUAAGGAAGCUCGGAAGGCACAAGGAAGCUGAUGUGCGGGAUCCUCUUUUGGGGUGCACCGCAGACCGACCCAAAACUUUUGUGAAGGGUUCGAGUGAGAGCAUGCCUGUCGGGACCCGAAAGAUGGUGAACUAUGCCUGAGCGGGGCGAAGCCAGAGGAAACUCUGGUGGAGGCCCGCAGCGGUACUGACGUGCAAAUCGUUCGUCUGACUUGGGUAUAGGGGCGAAAGACUAAUCGAACCAUCUAGUAGCUGGUUCCCUCCGAAGUUUCCCUCAGGAUAGC